Molecule: ribosomal RNA, 465 nt
Filed under: uncultured bacterium
Lineage: Bacteria
Description: partial 16S ribosomal RNA
Rfam family: Bacterial small subunit ribosomal RNA
Source: RNAcentral
AUUGAACGCUGGCGGCAUGCUUUACACAUGCAAGUCGAACGAGUAAGUGCUGUAGCAAUACAGAUUACUGCUAGUGGCAGACGGGUGAGUAAUACAUGGGAAUCUACCUUGAAGUCUGGGAUAACUGUUGGAAACGACAGCUAAUACCGGAUAUUGCCGAGAGGUGAAAGUUUUUCGCUUCAAGAUGAGCCCAUGCAAGAUUAGCUAGUUGGUAGGGUAAUGGCCUACCAAGGCGAAGAUCUUUAGCUGGUCUAAGAGGAUGAUCAGCCACACUGGAACUGAGAAGCGGUCCAGCCUCCAACGGGAGGAAGCAGGGGGGAAUAUUGGACAAUGGGCGAAAGCUUGACCCAGCGCCGCCGCGUGAGUAAUGAGGGCUUUCGGUUUGUAAAGCUCUUUCAGUAGGAAAGAUAAGGACGGUACCUAAAGAAAAAGCCCCGGCUAACUUCGUGCCAGCCGCCGCUGUAA